RNAcentral lists this ribosomal RNA (440 nucleotides) under uncultured bacterium. RNAcentral's name for it is "partial 16S ribosomal RNA". It matches the Rfam family "Bacterial small subunit ribosomal RNA", at positions 338 to 795 of the family's 1533-position model. The record is from RNAcentral.
CCUACGGGUGGCAGCAGUGGGGAAUAUUGCACAAUGGGGGAAACCCUGAUGCAGCGACGCCGCGUGAAUGAAGAAGUACUUCGGUAUGUAAAGUUCUAUCAGCAGGGACGAAAAUGACGGUACCUGACUAAGAAACCCCGGCUAACGACGUGCCAGCAGCCGCGGUAAUACGUAGGGGGCAAGCGUUAUCCGGAUUUACUGGGUGGAAAGGGAGCGUAGGCGGGUUAGCAAGUCAGAAGUGAAAGCCCGGGGCUCAACUCCUGGACUGCUUUUGAAACUGUGUAACUAGAGUGCAGGAGAGGUAAGUGGAAUUCCUAGUGUAGCGGUGAAAUGCGUAGAUAUUAGGAGGAACACCAGUGGCGAAGGCGGCUUACUGGACUGUAAAUGACGCUGAGGCUCGAAAGCGUGGGGAGCAAACAGGAUUAGAUACCCGUGUAGUC